Rhincodon typus (whale shark) is the source of this 117-nucleotide small nuclear RNA. RefSeq annotates it as U5 spliceosomal RNA. The record is from RefSeq and is a predicted model, not a curated record. The transcript has a single exon. Lineage: Eukaryota; Metazoa; Chordata; Chondrichthyes; Orectolobiformes; Rhincodontidae.
GUGCUCUGGUUUCUUAUCUGAUUGUCUAAAUUGUUUGCAUUUUACUAAAGAUUUCAGUGGAGAGGAGUUCUCAGAGUUUUGAGCAAUUUGUUUUUGUUGCCCUACUAUUGAGGGGCU